CCUACGGGAGGCAGCAGUGAGGAAUAUUGGUCAAUGGCCGUAAGUCUGAACCAGCCAAGUAGCGUGAGGGAAGACUGCCCUAUGGGUUGUAAACCUCUUUUAUGCGGGGAUAAAGGUGUCCACGUGUAGAUGUUUGCAGGUACCGCAUGAAUAAGGACCGGCUAAUUCCGUGCCAGCAGCCGCGGUAAUACGGAAGGUCCGGGCGUUAUCCGGAUUUAUUGGGUUUAAAGGGAGCGUAGGCGGGGCUUUAAGCUUGCCGUGAAAUUUUGUGGCUCAACCAUGAGAGUGCGGCUCGAACUGGAGACCUUGAGUGCGCGGAAGGCAGGCGGAAUUCGUGGUGUAGCGGUGAAAUGCUUAGAUAUCAUGAAGAACCCCGAUUGCGAAGGCAGCCUGCCGCAGCGUGACUGACGCUGAAGCUCGAAAGCGCGGGUAUCGAACAGGAUUAGAUACCCGGGUAGUC
This 460-nucleotide ribosomal RNA is filed under the name uncultured bacterium. RNAcentral's name for it is "partial 16S ribosomal RNA". It matches the Rfam family "Bacterial small subunit ribosomal RNA", at positions 338 to 795 of the family's 1533-position model. The record is from RNAcentral.